UGGGGAAUAUUGGACAAUGGAGGCAACCCUGAUGCAGCGACGCCGCGUGAAUGAAGAAGGCCUUCGAGUCGUAAAGUUCUUUUGUAUGGGAAGAUAAUGACGGUACCAGUAGAAAAAGCCCCGGCUAACUACGUGCCAGCAGCCGCGGUAAUACGUAGGGGGCUAGCGUUGUCCGGAAUCACUGGGCGUAAAGGGUUCGCAGGCGGAAAUGCAAGUCAGGUGUAAAAGGCAGUAGCUUAACUACUGUAAGCAUUUGAAACGGCAUAGCUUGAGGAGAGUAGAGGGAAGUGGAAUUUUUAGUGUAGCGGUGAAAUGCGUAGAUAUUAGAAAGAAUACCGGUGGCGAAGGCGACUUACUGGGCUAAUACUGACGCUGAGGAACGAAAGCGUGGGUAGCAAACAGG
Molecule: ribosomal RNA, 403 nt
Filed under: Bacteroidota bacterium
Lineage: Bacteria; Pseudomonadati; Bacteroidota
Description: Bacteroidetes bacterium partial 16S ribosomal RNA
Rfam family: Bacterial small subunit ribosomal RNA
Source: RNAcentral